RNAcentral lists this transfer RNA (67 nucleotides) under Phaonia pallida. RNAcentral's name for it is "tRNA-Pro". It matches the Rfam family "tRNA". From Rfam's summary of the family: Transfer RNA (tRNA) molecules are approximately 80 nucleotides in length. Their secondary structure includes four short double-helical elements and three loops (D, anti-codon, and T loops). Lineage: Eukaryota; Metazoa; Arthropoda; Insecta; Diptera; Muscidae. The record is from RNAcentral.
CAAGAAAUAGUUUAAUUAUAAAAUAUUAAUUUUGGAGAUUAAUGAUAAAGGUUUUCUUUUUUCUUGA